This 1140-nucleotide long non-coding RNA is filed under the name Crocodylus porosus (Australian saltwater crocodile). RNAcentral's name for it is "lncRNA (ENSCPRG00005015526.1)". Lineage: Eukaryota; Metazoa; Chordata; Crocodylia; Crocodylidae. The record is from RNAcentral.
UUAAAAGAAUUCAGUUCCGAACACAAUGCUGCUUUGCCAUGCACAGAACUGAGGAGGCGAAGCAGAAUUCUUCCUCGGAGCUACUCAAAUCUCAAGUUAAGUAUUACUCUCUCCUUUUUCUUCCACAUAAAUCCACAACCUAUAUACAAUUCCUAAUUCUCUUCUGGCUCAAGGGAAGCUUUAUUAUGUAAUCCAAAUAACUAGAUCACCCUGAAAACCUGACUUUCUAAAAAUAAGCUGUUACUCAUAGCUUUUCUGAGCUAAGUUGCAAAGACCCAGUCCGUCAUUGCCAUCCCAGUAAGGAGGUAAUCCUGAGAGAGAAGUUGGAUGUUGAAAACCACCUUUUGGUUUUAUCCAGUAUUUCUCUUUAAUCAUUAUGGCUUUUAUUGAACCAUGACCUUGGUACAGGUCCACACUUCCCUGGGUAGAGCACCAAGAGAGACCAGACGUCCAGGAAGCCCCAGAUCUCUUCAGGGUGCAGGGAAAUAUGUCUCCUGCACCAUACAGUAGGAUUCUGGAAUUUGCUAGCCAGAAGGGGGCAGGAUUUCAGCAUCUUGACCUGAUGUUCUUCCCUUUCAACAGGCUUGUGUCCCACUAGCACUAAAAUGGUGGGCUGAAGUUUCAUUUUGUAUCCCUUUACCUAUGCAUACCUACCUGUAGAUACCAGUUUGCUUCUGCAUGUAAUUAAAUGCACUAUUGAAAAGGUUUGGAGUUAGUUUAAUUAAUAUGGCAAUUCAGAAUUUAUCUGGAACCUUAGCUGGUUUAUUGGGUCUAUUCUCAUAACAGGUACUUGGUAAAUAAGCCUUACACUGUGUUCUUUGAUUUCCUUGAGAUGCAGACGGGCAUGCUCCGAAAACUUCUAAAGUGUCUCUUUGCAGCAUGCUGCAGGGUCUUUGAGAAUGAGAACAAAGCAGAUUCCAGCUCAGCUCCAUCCUGCAAUGCGUCAUCUAGGUUCCUAAGAAAACAAACGCCUAAGGAAAUCCAACAUUUUGAGGAGUCUAGUGUGAGAGGAGCUUAUGCUUGAAUCAUUGUGUUGGAGAAACAGGGUAUAGUCCAAUACCCUAUGGAGAACAGUAAGUCAUUUUCUUUUACUUUUACUUCUUAAAGUAUACAUAAGAUCUGUAGAGAUAACCUAAAGUC